Molecule: long non-coding RNA, 1207 nt
Organism: Empidonax traillii (willow flycatcher)
Lineage: Eukaryota; Metazoa; Chordata; Aves; Passeriformes; Tyrannidae
Exons: 2
Source: RefSeq, a predicted model, not a curated record
AGCACAGCUCAACAGUGCUAGGAGUUCAGCAGAACUUCUCCACAAGUGAAGUGGUUAUCACCUAAGGAAAACGAAGCAUCCCACAACUCACUGCAUCCCAACACCAAGAGCACCUCAUGGGUGUGGGUCAGCUGGAAUAUAAACUCAGAGAUUUCUUUAAGGGCUGUGUGGUACUGAAUCACAACUAACAUCAGCAGACCAAGAGGAAUGCUCUAGGCUGUGGACUGUGGACCAUUUAUACCUGGACUGAAGUGGACAUCUCUCAUCCAACAUUUGCCAUCAGAUCUGCCUUGGGAAAAUUCCAGGCAGUGGUUAUUUCUGGAUUCCAUUUCUCAGAAGACAAAACAAUUAUCCAGACAACUCUCAUUGCUGUUUGUUUCUUCAAAGGCCUCCCCCCUCCACAGCUGGAAGAUGCUGAAUUUGAUCUCCAAAAGCCCUUAGAUCUGUGCCGAUUUCCUUCUACCACAAAUGGACUCUAAACAACAAACCCUUUCUCCUCAGAUCCUUGACUAACCAUAGCUCCAGAGGCAGAAAGUGCCACUUCCCUAGCCAAGACAGGACAUACCAUCUUGGUGCUGCCACCCCUGCUGUCUUCCUCAGGAUGCUUCAGCUGUGUCUGACGCUGUGCAGUCUGCACAGCCCAACUCAGCAAACAGCACAAAGUCCAGGUCAGCAAAGUGUGUUGCCAAGCUGCAUCCUGGCACCGCCACAGGAGAAUGGAGCAGGUCCAGGGAGCCAAAAGGAGUACAGCCCAGGGGUGCUGUGGCACCACACGUGGGAUGACUUCUUGCAGUUUGGCUCUGAAGCGAGGGGUGCUCCUUAUGACCUCCUUCACUGUUGAUGCUGCUGUCACGACAGCUGUUGCUGGGAUGACGGAGGAUUCAAGGAUGGAGAGGCACACCUCAACAGGGGCUCAUUCCACCAUGUCCAGAAUGUCUGGAAGACGGACUGUGGACCAAGAGAGUGUUAGUGCAGGAGAAAUGUAUUUGGACACAGCAACAGAUGAGAAGCAGCAGAUCACAGACAAGGCUCACAUCACGGAGGUACAGAGAUCUGCCCGUCCCUGGGUACAUGAGUGAUGAAACACCACCUCCUCACGCUUGUUCAGUGCUGCAGCUUCAUUCUCAGGGGAUUGGUGGGUGUCUGUAACCCUUAUUUCUGACUUUGUUCCCUCCUCUAUUUCCGUAAUAAAAUCCCUAAUGUUAUA